GCAUAUCAAUAAGCGGAGGAAAAGAAACUAACUAGGAUUCCCUUAGUAACGGCGAGUGAACCGGGAUGAGCUCAAAUUUAAAAUCUGGCGUCUUUCAGGCGUCCGAGUUGUAAUCUAUAGAGGCGUUUUCCGCGCCGGACCGCGUCCAAGUCUCUUGGAAUAGAGUAUCAAAGAGGGUGACAAUCCCGUACUUGACGCGACAACCGGUGCUCUGUGAUACGUUCUCAAUGAGUCGAGUUGUUUGGGAAUGCAGCUCUAAAUGGGUGGUAAAUUCCAUCUAAGGCUAAAUAUUGGCGAGAGACCGAUAGCGAACAAGUACCGUGAGGGAAAGAUGAAAAGCACUUUGGAAAGAGAGUUAAACAGCACGUGAAAUUGUUAAAAGGGAAACGAUUGAAGUCAGUCGUGUGAAAGGUAUUCAGCCGUCUCUGGCGGUGUAUUUGCCUUUCACGGGUCAACAUCAGUUUGAUCCGGUAGAAAAAGGCAGGAGGAAGGUGGCACCCUCGGGUGUGUUAUAGCCUCUUGUCAUAUGUGCCGGACCAGACUGAGGAACGCAGCUUGCCGCAAGGCCGGGGUUCGCCCACGUACAAGCUUAGGAUGUUGAC
RNAcentral lists this ribosomal RNA (602 nucleotides) under Vishniacozyma victoriae. RNAcentral's name for it is "partial large subunit ribosomal RNA". It matches the Rfam family "Eukaryotic large subunit ribosomal RNA", at positions 38 to 630 of the family's 3401-position model. The record is from RNAcentral. Lineage: Eukaryota; Fungi; Basidiomycota; Tremellomycetes; Tremellales; Bulleribasidiaceae.